RNAcentral lists this ribosomal RNA (427 nucleotides) under uncultured bacterium. Its description in RNAcentral is "bacterial SSU rRNA". It matches the Rfam family "Bacterial small subunit ribosomal RNA", at positions 355 to 774 of the family's 1533-position model. The record is from RNAcentral.
UGGGGAAUUUUGGACAAUGGACGCAAGUCUGAUCCAGCCAUGCCGCGUGCGGGAAGAAGGCCUUCGGGUUGUAAACCGCUUUUGUCAGGGAAGAAACGAGUUUCUCUAAUACAGAGACUUAAUGACGGUACCUGAAGAAUAAGCACCGGCUAACUACGUGCCAGCAGCCGCGGUAAUACGUAGGGUGCAAGCGUUAAUCGGAAUUACUGGGCGUAAAGCGUGCGCAGGCGGUUAUGUAAGACAGAUGUGAAAUCCCCGGGCUCAACCUGGGAACUGCGUUUGUGACUGCAUCGCUGGAGUGCGGCAGAGGGGGAUGGAAUUCCGCGUGUAGCAGUGAAAUGCGUAGAUAUGCGGAGGAACACCGAUGGCGAAGGCAAUCCCCUGGACCUGUACUGACGCUCAUGCACGAAAGCGUGGGGAGCAAACA